GAGGGUAGAGCUCAAGUGGUAGAGCUCAUGCUUAGCAUGCAUGAGGUCCUGGGUUCAAUCCCCAGUGCCUCCA
This 73-nucleotide transfer RNA is filed under the name Camelus dromedarius (Arabian camel). It matches the Rfam family "tRNA". From Rfam's summary of the family: Transfer RNA (tRNA) molecules are approximately 80 nucleotides in length. Their secondary structure includes four short double-helical elements and three loops (D, anti-codon, and T loops). Further hydrogen bonds mediate the characteristic L-shaped molecular structure. tRNAs have two regions of fundamental functional importance: the anti-codon, which is responsible for specific mRNA codon recognition, and the 3' end, to which the tRNAs corresponding amino acid is attached (by aminoacyl-tRNA synthetases). tRNAs cope with the degeneracy of the genetic code in two manners: having more than one tRNA (with a specific anti-codon) for a particular amino acid; and 'wobble' base-pairing, i.e. permitting non-standard base-pairing at the 3rd anti-codon position. The record is from Rfam by way of RNAcentral. Lineage: Eukaryota; Metazoa; Chordata; Mammalia; Artiodactyla; Camelidae. RNAcentral also lists the same sequence under 1 other name.